RNA transcript from Octodon degus (degu), 1002 nucleotides. It is a transcript of the gene named glyceraldehyde-3-phosphate dehydrogenase pseudogene, with no coding region annotated. The record is from RefSeq and is a predicted model, not a curated record. NCBI's taxonomy places the organism in Eukaryota, Metazoa, Chordata, Mammalia, Rodentia, Octodontidae. The transcript has a single exon.
CAGACAAGAUGGUGAAGGUCGGAGUGAAAGGAUUUGGCUGUAUUGGACGCCUGGUCACCAGGGCUGCUUUUAACUCUGGCAAGGUGGAUGUUGUGGCCAUCAAUGACCCCUUCAUUGACCUCAACUCCAUGGUCUACAUGUUCCAGUACAAUUCCACCCAUGGCAGGUUCCCUGGCACUACCAAGGCUGAGGACGGGAAGCUCGUCAUCACCAGAAAGCCCAUCACCGUCUUCCAAGAGCAAGAUCCUGCCAACAUCAAGUGGGGUGAUGCUGACGCUGAGUAUGUGGUGGAGUCCACUGGUGUCUUCACCACCAUGGAGAAGGCCGGGGCUCACCUCAAGGGUGGUGCCAAAAAGGUCAUCAUCUCUGCCCCUUCUGCUGAUGCCCCCAUGUUUGUGAUGGGUGUGAAUCACAAGAAGUACGACAACUCCCUCAAGAUCGUCAGCAGCACUUCCUGUACCACCAACUGUUUAGCCCCACUGGCCAAGGUCAUCCAUGACAACUUCGGCAUUGUGGAGGGACUCAUGACCACAGUCCAUGCCAUCACUGCCACCCAGAAGACUGUGGACGGCCCCUCUGGGAAGCUGUGGUACGAUGGCCGUGGGGCUGCCCAGAACAUCAUCCCUGCAUACACUGGCACUGCCAAGGCUGUGGGCAAGGUCAUUCUCAUGCUGAAUGGGAAGCUCACAGGCAUGGCCUUUUGUGUGCCCAUUCCCAAUGCCUCGGUGGUGGAUCUGACCUGCCUCCUGGAGAAAGCGGCUCAAUACAACGACAUCAAAAUGGUGGUGAAGCAGGCAUCAGAUGGUCCCCUCAAAGGUAUCCUGGGCUACACUGAAGACCAGGUUGUGUCUUGCGACUUCAAUAGUGACACUACUCUUUGAUGCUGGGGCUGGCAUCACCCUGAAUGACCAUUUUGUCAAGCUUAUUUCCUUAUAUGACAAUGAGUUUGCCUACAGCUACAGGGUGGUGGACCUCAUGGUCCACAUGGCCUCCAAGGAGUAA